GACGGAGGGUGCAAGCGUUGUUCGGAUUGACUGGGCGUAAAGGGCGUGUAGGCGGUUGGUCAAGUCCGAUGUGAAAGCCCGGGGCUCAGCUUCGGAAGUGCAUCGGAAACUAGCCAGCUGGAGCGCGAUAGAGGGGGGCGGAAUUCCUGGUGUAGCGGUGAAAUGCGUAGAUAUCAGGAGGAACACCGGCGGCGAAGGCGGCCCUCUGGAUCGUUGCUGACGCUGAGACGCGAAAGCGUGGGGAGCAAACAGG
RNAcentral lists this ribosomal RNA (253 nucleotides) under uncultured bacterium. Its description in RNAcentral is "partial 16S ribosomal RNA". It matches the Rfam family "Bacterial small subunit ribosomal RNA", at positions 524 to 776 of the family's 1533-position model. The record is from RNAcentral.